Molecule: long non-coding RNA, 111 nt
Organism: Sinocyclocheilus anshuiensis
Lineage: Eukaryota; Metazoa; Chordata; Actinopteri; Cypriniformes; Cyprinidae
Exons: 3
Source: RefSeq, a predicted model, not a curated record
AUAGUGCAGUUCUAUUCUGGGAAAAGUGGGCGGGGAGCAGCUGCUCGUUUGCAUUUAAAGAGACAGGCACGAAAAACAGCGUGUUUCUGCUUCCACUUAAAAUGGGCAUUU